This is a long non-coding RNA of Haplochromis burtoni (Burton's mouthbrooder), 3943 nucleotides long. RefSeq lists it as uncharacterized. Lineage: Eukaryota; Metazoa; Chordata; Actinopteri; Cichliformes; Cichlidae. The transcript is spliced from 2 exons. The record is from RefSeq and is a predicted model, not a curated record.
UCCAACAAUCAUAUGACCCCUCCCUAUGAGCAAGCGCUUUGACGACAGUGGGAAGGGAAAACUCCCUUUUAAUACGAAGAAACCUCCAGCAGAACCAGCCCUGGGGAACGGCAGCAGUCCGCCACGACAAGUUGGGGACAAUGGGAGGAAGACAUACAGCUGCUGCUGGGUAAAUAAUUCUGCAUUAAAACCUAUCUUGAGCCUACAGAGUGGCUGAUGCUGCAUUUAUACUUUGGCUUGGUCUGGCUACAUUGCUCUGCAAUUUUGCUGCCUAAAGUUGGCAGACGAGUUCCUGUUUUUGGACUGUACUGAAUGGAUGCAACGUGUGGUUACAUUUUUAGGAAGGUGCACGUCAGAUGAAGUAUCAGUUACAAUAAGCUUAAAUUUGAAGAAACAAAUCCUGUUUGAGAUUUGUGACACCAGUGCACUGCAUGUCUUCCUUCACUACAUCCACAAAUCUUCUCUGACUUCCUCUUUUCCUCCUGCCUGGAAGUUUCAUCAUCACGAUACGAGUCACAAAUUGGAUGCACUCACAACCUGCUCCUGAAACACACUUUUCAACAUGUAUGCAGUCUCCCCCAUUUAACAAUUCAUCUAUCAUAUAAACAUGUAAGAGUCAGGAUAAUAUUGAAGCUGAAACAGCUGCUUGUUUACUUAUAAAUGAUAAAUGCUGCCUUCCUUCCUACCUCACCCCCAGCUGAUUGCUCCCCCCCCUCUCUGAGCCUGUUUCUCUUUGACGUUUCUUCCUGUUUUAAGGGAGUUCUUCCUUCACACAGUCGCCAAGUCCUUGCUCACAGGUGAUCGUCUCAUUGUUUGGGGUUCUUUCUAAUAUUGAAGGGUUUAAAAAGUAUUAUAAUAUAAAGGGCACUGUUGUAGUUAUUUGGGACUAUAUAAAUAAAAUUGAAUUGAACACAUUUUAAAGGACUGUAAUUCCAGCUAAAGGAGGCGGCGAUUAAUUGGUCCACCUCCAGUUUACAUUGUAACAUUUGUAUCAAGUUUGAAUCUGCAGAGCUAAUAGUUAAAAGGUUUAAUUGCUGGAAUGUUGACUAAUUUAAAAAUAAAUCUAUUACUUAAAACAUGACAGCAAUAAAACCCCAGACUCAUAAAGAAUAACUGUGACUGUGGCUGUAUUUCAAACACAUGUUCUAGACUAAAUUUUGUGUGUUAAAAAUGUAAUCAAAACAACUGGCAAACUGUGACUAAUUUUAAUCGUUGUGCAAUCUUAUCCGUUCACCUGACUAUUAAAUGGCACAUCUUUGUUUUCUAUACAGUGAAACAAACUUCGGUUUAGAAAACUGAUGAAUUGGUAGGAAAGAAAGACUUGUAAGAAAUGAACCCAUAAAAUUAAUUGUUACCUGAUUCGAUCAGACUCCUCACACGUGCUCUUUAAGCUGAUUUUUAACCUCGACUCUAACUCGGGUUUCCUGAUAUCAACAUGAUGGACACGUUAAUUCUCACAGAACACGGAGUAUUGCUGAAGUCAGCCCGAUGUGCACUGCUUUGCUUUGUUCUCUUUGCUGAGCUCUUGUAUUCUGGGCCAUUCAUCAUUAUGACAACUUGACGGCCCUCUGAAGAGCCCGGAAAUGUAUUUACGCAAAAUUACAGAGUGAGCAUAAAACGUACGACCUGCGACCGUCUGCAGAGCAGGAUUUGAGAACGUGCAGGAGAAGCUUUGGUUUGCGUGGCUGAAAGGAAAACUUCAUUCACCACUUUUAAUAUCCCAUUCAAAUUAUGAGAUGAGUUGACCCAUAUCUGGCGUUCAGGAGGAGGCAUUAUUUCACAGAUGCACCUGUGGAACAGUGAGAAGGGUCCGCAUGAUUAUAGUCACAGUUGGUGACAGCAUAAUGGAGAUUAACUUGGUCAAUCCCAAACAAGUUUGCUUAGUCAUGAACAAUUUACCAGGUGCAGCACUAACGUCUGUGAUGAUGCUGAACCAAAACUAUGUUUUUGUGUCUGGUUCUUUACCUUCUGAAAGCUGCACUGUGUUCUGCAUAUGCCCUUCAAGUCUAACCUCACCCUAACCAAAUUUGAGGCUUCAAAAGACACAUGACACUGUAUAUAAUGAACCACAUCCAGUCUUAUGCAUGAUAACUAGAUGCCAAAAACAUCUCUGCAAUUGAAAAAAGUACAGUGUGUGAUUUGUUGGUCAAUAUUGCAGGGAAAUGUAAAAGAAAUGUUGGGUUUUAUUACCCAGAAGCCCUGUAAGGUGACACCCGUGUGUGUGUUGUGAUUCAAGUGCCCCGUAGGAAAAUGUGUGGUGGUUGUUGCCAUUACAGCCUGGUCUAGAUGAAGCGCUGACUCACUGCUGUUAAUGUGUCGCCCGUAAAGUUUAGAUUUGUCAUUUCUGUGGGUGGAGAUUUCCCACCAUGCGUCCUUGCAGCUCUGCACAAUGAAAGUGAUGCAUUUCAAUUAGCGGCACUGAGAUGCCUCUCUGUUUGACUUAUAGCUUGCAAUUUUAAUCUUUGUGAGUGGGAGCUGAGGAGCAAGCGUCUCCACCGCAUGUCAGUGAACUGCCGUGCCGAGCAGCGUGAGAUUAUGUAAGGUGUAAAAUGAUCAUGAUAAGUGGAAACACUAACACGCUGUGUCUGCUCCUAUAACCCCGCUCUGCAGAGAGGGUCUCUGCAGCUGGAUGAGCUCUCCUCCCCUUCUGUGUGCUGAAGUAGAGGAGAGGAGGAGGUGGUGGUGGUGGUGUGGGGCCCACCCAUGCAGAGCAACAAGGGCCUGGCUGUUCUCUGCUUUGUUUACUCAGGUCAGAUAAUACAGACAACUGGUAUACCUGCAGUCUUCCCUGCUGUCAAUUGCUGUCCAUUUUCUGCAGGCUGGAGUGGAGCGUGGGCAUUGUGGAAGAAAAAGCCCAGCAAGGAAGACAGAGACCAAGGGAAAGCUAAACUGGAGCUCUGAAGGCAAGAUUGGGAGGCGACAUCACUAGUUUAUUGCUUCGAGUACACAGCCCCUCUGUCGGUAAGUAAAUACAGUAAGAUGACACAUGGGUGAAAAGUGAACACGCAAGCAGCUCAAAAAACAGCUAGUUUAUUUUUUUUUCAUUUAUUCCCCCCCCCCCAAAAGAAGCUUCAAAAUGAAAGGCUUUCUCUUUGAAAUGCAAUCAGAAGAAAUAACACCUUCCUCAUGUUUUAACACUGAUAAAUACAGAUUAUCUACUAAUCAAAUGUGAUCAGAUGAGAGGCUGCAGAUAGGUGGAAGGUGGUGUGAAGAGAAAACAAAAAGGAAGAAAAACAUCAUCACCAACGGUUAAUACCAACAGAAAUCGUUCCAUGUGGACAAGAUCUAGCUAAAGAAAAGAGCCCUCUCUGGGUUCACAUCAGUACAGCAGGUCUGUGGGGGUGGGACCUGCAUUAAAGUGCAGACUGGAGUAGGAGAGGGGCAGCUUCAAGACCAAAAUGGACACCAGGGCUCGGAGUGUAACCUUCCUUCCCCUGUGUGAACCGUAGCUUAUGUUAGCACACUUGCACUGACAUUAUUCUAGCUCAUGGAAGUGGCUCAGUAAUUUAUUACUAGUGUCGAUGCAAAUCUUUUCAGCGUUUCUCACUCCAAUGCACACUGUGAGCAACACGGUCACUGGAAAGUGUCGGCGUAAUUGCUCUCAAACAUGAGUUUUUGGCAGUACAAGGUUGGAAAACGGGUCAUGCUGUUGGUACGAUUGCCAUCAAAAGCAACUAUUUAGUAGUGAACGGUUUCUUUAAAUGAGACAGAUGCUCGUGGAGGAACUUCUGUUAUUUUUACCGUGUUCAGUGUUGUUGGCUUAUUUGAAGUAUUGACAGGGUGGAGCUAGCCGCUCCCUCCUUUCCCCCCGCAGCCUCUACUUUCAUACUUUUGAACACAGACCUGCAUUGUAAAGUUAAUGCAUGGCGAUGUGCUGGGAUCAUGAAUCCACCUCAAAAGAUUAUUUUCGGGUUUUUUUUUUUUUUUUUUUUAAAUCCAUCAA